GGUGACUGCAAAAACGGCGGAAAUUGUACUGAAUUCAGAUGUUCCACAUUAUGUGACUGCCUGCCAGGAACAUCAGGAGAUUACUGUUCUGAAAUUGCGGAUUGCAAGAUAGAUAAUUUUUGUGGUUCCGAUAACGAUUCGACGUGCCUGUACGGCAGUUUUCGAAUGGAAACUGUCUGUCAAUGCUCGAAUACAAGGAAAGAAUUUAAUUACAAGGAGAAAAUCUGCAAAGAAUUUCUCUGGCAAGAUUCUUUUUAUGCAAAGACAUCAGUGGCUUAUGGGCAAGUUAUUAUUAAAAAAAACUUCAUAAAAUUCAAAAGAAAACAAAAUAUUCUUAUGUUAAAGAUUUUAUGAAUACAUUUCUGGCAUUAUUUAUAAAUAAUAAAAUAUAUAUAAUAUAUUUCUGAGCCAAUAUUUUGUGCCUGUGGAAUAUCCUUACGCUGUCCAUCGACAGUUAACUAUGCUGCCAAUUUUAAAAUAUCACGGGUUUUGCCUAUUGUCAUUAAAACAGUAUAUUGUUGUGCUAAUAUCAUUUUAAUUCUUCAACGACCGUUUAAGCUAUUAGAUUAAAGAAGUAUUUAGCUAUAAGGAUAAAAAGAAUGAAAAACAUUUUUAAUAGCAUUAUAACGCGUUCUGUUCCCGGUUUACUUCAUAAUAUGUUUUCUCGCUCCUUUCGGCAUGCCAUCGAGGUGUAACUGCUGGACGAGGAUUCGGAAGACCUGAAAUUCAAGUCCCGGUGAGUGCCUUCUUCAAUUUCCUGAUAUCAAAAAUUUUCAAAAGGCCAUAAAUGGCCAUCGAAUUAAAAAAAAAAAAAAAAAAAAAAAAAAAAAAAAAAAAAAAAAAAAAAUGGGG
This is a long non-coding RNA of Stegodyphus dumicola, 852 nucleotides long. The record is from RefSeq and is a predicted model, not a curated record. NCBI's taxonomy places the organism in Eukaryota, Metazoa, Arthropoda, Arachnida, Araneae, Eresidae.